UAGAGACCAGCCACCGGCGUCCAUGGCCUCACAGUCGCCGAAAAUGGUAACAAGAUUGCCGGAGUUUUAAAUUUUCAGCCAAAGAUCUUCAAAAUAUUAACUUCAUAUUCACAGAAACUAUAAGAAAAAAUCAGAGAAAGAAGACAAGGUCAUGAGAGUCGUGGUUGGCGGAGUUGCUUCUUCAACGGCGAGGACACCGGGGCAACUUCCGGCCGACCUCCUGUGGGAGAAUCGUUUUCCCUUUCUUUUCUCUUUUUUUUAGAUCUUGAAGGUAAAUCAAAAUACAUAUGAAAGAAGUAACUAUGAUACACCGGAAAUCAAAAUACAUCUGGCUAUUCUGUUGACAGUGGUAACAACCAUGGGUUGCUAGCGUGAGAGAGAAGAAGAGAGAUAGUAAGGAAGAUGGGGAUGGGAGGCGACUGCUAUCCCUCCUCUCAAAAAUGAGAGAUGUAAAAAUGUGAUUGGGAACUCGAGAUUUGCCAGAGAAGUUCACCGACGAAGAGCAAAAUAGAGUUAUUCGGCUUGAAGAAUCCGAUUUUCCUCGGUGGUACCACUUUUAGGUUUUUUCAGUUGCUAGCAAUUGUUAUUGUUUUUAGACUAUGACUUGUAUGGGUUAAUUUGUGGCUACCGGAUGAUAUAUGUUUGGCCGAUGAGAUAUAAAUGAAUUUCUCUCGUAAUGUUUUACAUUUCCUCCCAAAUUAAUGUUUACCUUGCAUUACUUUUUCAUUGAGAAUAUGAAUAGCAAGAAACUGAAAAACUGGCAAGUAGCAAGAUGUUGUACCUAAUCGCAUACUAAUAAUGGUAAUCCAACAAUAUGCAAACAAAUUUUUGGGGCUACACUAAAUAUUGUAUAGGUAUCCAACGGACAUUUAUAACCACAUAUGGAUGACCUUUUUUCUUCCAUUUUGAUCCAGAUGAGCGUCAUGGUUCUUGAUUAGGAGCUGUGUCCUGUGGUGGGAAUUCUUCAGCAUAUGAAAAGAGGAAGUUACAGGGUACAAUUGAGUAUGAGAUUUUAUUUUCAGAUUGAACUUUCCCUAGCUAAGACAAACAAUGUCAGGCCACAAGACUUUCAGCAAAGUUCAAAUAGAGUCAAAAACUCAGUGGGAUUUACACAAACGCUGAAAAUGACUUAACAUUUUCA
Molecule: long non-coding RNA, 1141 nt
Filed under: Nicotiana tabacum (common tobacco)
Lineage: Eukaryota; Viridiplantae; Streptophyta; Magnoliopsida; Solanales; Solanaceae
Description: long non-coding RNA (NTAB_LNC015100)
Source: RNAcentral